CCGGGACCCCCGCUCCCCGACGGCCCCCGCUCACCACCCGCAUCUGCAGGCGCCUCCAGCCGCGAUCCACUAUUCCUCCCCCUGGAAGGCAGGAGGUGCAGAGGAGGAGGAGGGCAGGCCUUGGCUUGUGUGUAGAAGUCAGAGGAUGAUGUUUCGUGCUGGAGAUAAAUGAAGCUCUCACCCUUCAAAAGCUUCUUCUUUCGGUAGAUGGAGACCACCACAGAGAGAUGCAGCUGAUCAAAAAGUAGAGAAUAAUGAAGUGAUUGUGAGAUGACUAUCCCCAGAUAGUAUAUCUACAAUAAAAACUCUGUACACCUAAGACUAUCAGGACAUAGAAGCAACACACAUGUAAGAGCCAGAAUAUCCUCUGUGAGGCAUGACAAGGAAAUUACAGCCAUGAAACCUCAACUUUGUGGUCACAAACAAGAUCUUCACAGUGACAACAUUGUGAAUUGGCAUGUCAAAAUGUAUAGAGGAAAUCUCACAAGACCCCACCCCUAGAUGAAGAGCUGCAGGUAAUUAAUGGAUCCUGAGAGGGGAAUCGAUCUUUCUCAGGGGUUAGUCCUCAAUAUUUUAUCUAACCCCAUGUGGUCAACCUUAAAUACAUACACAUAUAAACAACACUGAAAAGACUUUUCAGGCUGUUAUUUAUAUCCACAUAUGUAUGUGUAUGUAUGUUUUUCUAGGACACAUCACAAUAAGGAAAGAAUAAGUUAUGAGAUCAUGAGCUUGAGGGGAAAUGGUAAGGGAUGGACACAG
Molecule: long non-coding RNA, 759 nt
Organism: Microtus oregoni (creeping vole)
Lineage: Eukaryota; Metazoa; Chordata; Mammalia; Rodentia; Cricetidae
Exons: 3
Source: RefSeq, a predicted model, not a curated record